RNAcentral lists this ribosomal RNA (86 nucleotides) under Escherichia coli. Its description in RNAcentral is "partial 23S ribosomal RNA". It matches the Rfam family "Bacterial large subunit ribosomal RNA", at positions 2840 to 2925 of the family's 2925-position model. The record is from RNAcentral. Lineage: Bacteria; Pseudomonadati; Pseudomonadota; Gammaproteobacteria; Enterobacterales; Enterobacteriaceae. RNAcentral also lists the same sequence under 21 other names.
GAAGACGACGACGUUGAUAGGCCGGGUGUGUAAGCGCAGCGAUGCGUUGAGCUAACCGGUACUAAUGAACCGUGAGGCUUAACCUU